Molecule: ribosomal RNA, 449 nt
Filed under: uncultured bacterium
Lineage: Bacteria
Description: partial 16S ribosomal RNA
Rfam family: Bacterial small subunit ribosomal RNA
Source: RNAcentral
AACGAACGCUGGCGGCAUGCCUAACACAUGCAAGUCGAACGAGAUCUUCGGGUCUAGUGGCGCACGGGUGCGUAACGCGUGGGAAUCUGCCCUUUGGUUCGGAAUAACAGUUGGAAACGACUGCUAAUACCGGAUGAUGACGAAAGUCCAAAGAUUUAUCGCCAGAGGAUGAGCCCGCGUAGGAUUAGCUAGUUGGUGUGGUAAAGGCGCACCAAGGCGACGAUCCUUAGCUGGUCUGAGAGGAUGAUCAGCCACACUGGGACUGAGACACGGCCCAGCCUCCCACGGGAGGCAGCAGUGGGGAAUAUUGGACAAUGGGCGAAAGCCUGAUCCAGCAAUGCCGCGUGAGUGAUGAAGGCCUUAGGGUUGUAAAGCUCUUUUACCCGGGAUGAUAAUGACAGUACCGGGAGAAUCAGCUCCGGCUAACUCCGUGCCAGCCGCCGCGGUAA